GAUGAACGCUAGCGACAGGCUUAACACAUGCAAGUCGAGGGGCAGCGGAGUGUAGCAAUACACCGCCGGCGACCGGCGCACGGGUGAGUAACGCGUAUGCAACUUGCCUAUCAGAGGGGGAUAACCCGGCGAAAGUCGGACUAAUACCGCAUGAAGCAGGGGCCCCGCAUGGGGAUAUUUGCUAAAGAUUCAUCGCUGAUAGAUAGGCAUGCGUUCCAUUAGGCAGUUGGCGGGGUAACGGCCCACCAAACCGACGAUGGAUAGGGGUUCUGAGAGGAAGGUCCCCCACAUUGGUACUGAGACACGGACCAAACUCCUACGGGAGGCAGCAGUGAGGAAUAUUGGUCAAUGGGCGCGAGCCUGAACCAGCCAAGUCGCGUGAGGGAUGAAGGUUCUAUGGAUCGUAAACCUCUUUUAUAAGGGAAUAAAGUGCGGGACGUGUCCCGUUUUGUAUGUACCUUAUGAAUAAGGAUCGGCUAACUCCGUGCCAGCAGCCGCGGUAAUACGGAGGAUCCGAGCGUUAUCCGGAUUUAUUGGGUUUAAAGGGUGCGUAGGCGGCCUUUUAAGUCAGCGGUGAAAGUCUGUGGCUCAACCAUAGAAUUGCCGUUGAAACUGGGGGGCUUGAGUAUGUUUGAGGCAGGCGGAAUGCGUGGUGUAGCGGUGAAAUGCUUAGAUAUCACGCAGAACCCCGAUUGCGAAGGCAGCCUGCCAAGCCAUGACUGACGCUGAUGCACGAAAGCGUGGGGAUCAAACAGGAUUAGAUACCCUGGUAGUCCACGCAGUAAACGAUGAUCACUAGCUGUUUGCGAUACAGUGUAAGCGGCACAGCGAAAGCGUUAAGUGAUCCACCUGGGGAGUACGCCGGCAACGGUGAAACUCAAAGGAAUUGACGGGGGCCCGCACAAGCGGAGGAACAUGUGGUUUAAUUCGAUGAUACGCGAGGAACCUUACCCGGGUUUGAACGCAUUCGGACCGAGGUGGAAACACCUUUUCUAGCAAUAGCCGUUUGCGAGGUGCUGCAUGGUUGUCGUCAGCUCGUGCCGUGAGGUGUCGGCUUAAGUGCCAUAACGAGCGCAACCCUUGCCACUAGUUACUAACAGGUGAUGCUGAGGACUCUGGUGGGACUGCCAGCGUAAGCUGCGAGGAAGGCGGGGAUGACGUCAAAUCAGCACGGCCCUUACAUCCGGGGCGACACACGUGUUACAAUGGCGUGGACAAAGGGAGGCCACCUGGCGACAGGGAGCGAAUCCCCAAACCACGUCUCAGUUCGGAUCGGAGUCUGCAACCCGACUCCGUGAAGCUGGAUUCGCUAGUAAUCGCGCAUCAGCCAUGGCGCGGUGAAUACGUUCCCGGGCCU
RNAcentral lists this ribosomal RNA (1357 nucleotides) under uncultured bacterium. RNAcentral describes it as "16S ribosomal RNA". It matches the Rfam family "Bacterial small subunit ribosomal RNA", at positions 28 to 1381 of the family's 1533-position model. The record is from RNAcentral.